Long non-coding RNA from Melitaea cinxia (Glanville fritillary), 893 nucleotides. RefSeq lists it as uncharacterized. Lineage: Eukaryota; Metazoa; Arthropoda; Insecta; Lepidoptera; Nymphalidae. The transcript has 3 exons. The record is from RefSeq and is a predicted model, not a curated record.
AACUACGCAUAUCUCAAACUUGAUUGCAUGUCAUUUUUUUUGGCAAAACUGUCUGGCAAAGUCAUAGUCAACAAUCAGCACUCAGCUUAAUAGGAAAUCCGUGUAACAUAGAACCAGAGUUUGAUUACACGCCAGAAAAUGACAAUUAGUGGAACAAAGAAUUUUCUUUAUUGUUAUGUAAGUGUUCUAGCGUACUCAUAGUUUAUUUGAACGUAUUGUGAUAAACAUAUUGUUAUUUAGUGUACUAAAAAGAAAAGGCAGCGGUGAGUUCUUCUCGCUCGUUCUCAAGACGGCGCAGCUCGAUCUCGAGCUCGUGAAGACGGCGGGUCAACUCCGUGAUGUUGGCGCGGGCAUCGUGCAACUCAUCUAUUCGCAUUCUCAGCAGGAACGAGCAUCGUUUGGCCCAGUUUCAAAAGUGCGACCGAAGAGACGUCGAGGUUUCACAGAAUGCUUUGCUGCGUGUCUAAAUAUAUCGCGUGCGUGGAGGAAGGCGGUGGCGGUCCGUGGACGCGGCCACUUGCGCGCGCUCGCCCGCUCUGUUCACCGGUGCAAUUGACUAAAAUAGACCAUGCGAAUAUCGGUGACGAGAACGAACCCGACCUCAAGUAACGAUAGGAAUCGAUUGUUAAAUGAUAGUUAAAUUUUUAAUUAAGAUUUCCUUUCUAUCGCUUAGAAAAGCUUUGUAUUCUGUCAAGCAAUGGAAAAUUUACGGACUGAUAAGUACCUUACAGGGUACAAUAUUUUUUUGUUUUAUUUAAUUACUUACGAACUUUAAGUUUGAAAUGAUGAUUGUAAGAAAAUAUCUGUUAUUGCUAAUGUCCUUACUACGAGCUGAUAAUUUACACGAUAGUUACUAAUUAUUAUCAAUUAUAUCGAUUUUUUAUUCGAAAAUA